UAACGCCCUCCUUUCCUGUCUGAAAAGACAGUCUCCUCAUUUGUUCUCGGACAUGCGGGUGGUUUGCCCUGGGUUGUGUGUCCUGAAUUGCAAUUUCUCUGCUAUUCCUGAAUAAUCUCAUCUCUGCUGGUUAACUAUCUGGCCAUUUUAUUUUUAUGGUUGACGGUGGUAAGGCAGUUCUAAGAGCUUUGUGACAUUCAGACUAGAGGCGACCUUGGAAGUGGGGUCCCAGGCUCCUGCAAAAAGGCUGAAGUGAGGACCUCACUAAGUCGGAAGCCAGGGCUCCAGGAAUCCCGAUUCCUCUUUCGUGUCAGCCUCUCAUUCCACAGCCUCCUCCAAAGCUCUCCUUGAACCCCAGCCCAGGAAAGGGGAAGAGUGCGGUGGGUGUCAUUGCUGAGCCCCUGAGACGCGGGGGUGGGGGAACUUCUGCGGAGCAGGGGCCAGAGGCCCAGCGUCAGAUCUCCACUCGGAUUCUUACAGACCAGGACACAGUUGUGGAAUGACGGCUUCCAGAACGCUGAGACAAACACCGCCUCGAAGUUCCUGGGGGAAUAAAGGGAGUAUGUGGACCGCCCUCUGGGGGUGAUGUUGUGCUGUCUGAAGGUGACAAGUAGCAGGUCUGGUUGGUUCGAUGGAGCCUGACAGUACAAAGGGAUGGCUUCCAAGCCAGGCCGGUCAAGGCAGCGACGGCAGUGGCCCUGAGCGCACCAGACCCCCUCGGGAAGCUUCCUUUCACACACAGUCGGUUCGCCCAGCCUGCUCACCCCUCAACCCUUCCUCUGGACCUUGAAAAGUCCUGGACCAAACAGAGGGAGCCAAACUUGACCUUGCAUGUGGAUACCACCAUACUAUUCUAGCAAAAGGAAGAGAGAUUUCCUCAUCACCAGGCAACACACCAGCCAGUGAAAAGCCACCACUCUUGGAACUUCAAGUUUACUCCAAUGGACUUUUCAUGGUUAACACAUGUGAUUGGAGUUUUGCUGCUGUCCUGAAGAAGGAAGAACAGGAGACACUCUGGGAAUCAUGCUGGGAAGAGACUCUUGCCCCAGCGAAUUACAGAGAUGCUAGGACAUUUACAACUUGCUGGAAAUAGUUGCUUAUGGUAAAGGAUGAAGAUUAUGCCUCAAGGCCCCUCAAUAGAUAUUUAACUGGAUGGGAAUAGAGAGUGGAGCUCAUGUGUUCCUUGUGCAAUCCUAGAAUGUCAGAGCUGGAAAGACUCACAGAAGAGACACAUUGUAUAAACAU
Long non-coding RNA from Suricata suricatta (meerkat), 1245 nucleotides. RefSeq lists it as uncharacterized. The transcript has 4 exons. The record is from RefSeq and is a predicted model, not a curated record. Lineage: Eukaryota; Metazoa; Chordata; Mammalia; Carnivora; Herpestidae.